RNAcentral lists this transfer RNA (82 nucleotides) under Aspergillus clavatus NRRL 1. RNAcentral describes it as "tRNA-Thr (TGT) (tRNA-Thr-TGT-4-1)". It matches the Rfam family "tRNA". Rfam says of the family: Transfer RNA (tRNA) molecules are approximately 80 nucleotides in length. Their secondary structure includes four short double-helical elements and three loops (D, anti-codon, and T loops). Further hydrogen bonds mediate the characteristic L-shaped molecular structure. tRNAs have two regions of fundamental functional importance: the anti-codon, which is responsible for specific mRNA codon recognition, and the 3' end, to which the tRNAs corresponding amino acid is attached (by aminoacyl-tRNA synthetases). tRNAs cope with the degeneracy of the genetic code in two manners: having more than one tRNA (with a specific anti-codon) for a particular amino acid; and 'wobble' base-pairing, i.e. permitting non-standard base-pairing at the 3rd anti-codon position. Lineage: Eukaryota; Fungi; Ascomycota; Eurotiomycetes; Eurotiales; Aspergillaceae. The record is from RNAcentral.
GGCAAGAUGGCCGAGUGGUCGAAGGCGGUUGAUUUGUACCCAACUCCCGAAAGGGGCGUGGGUUCGAACCCCACUCUUGUCA